CUUCUGCUUCUUUUAGAACUUCCUUUAAAUGGAGCCUAGAGUAUGUACACAUAUACACAUGUAGUUGCUUAACAAUGUUGUGUUACAUUCUGCCGUACACAAAUCACACUAGGUGUACAAGUGUAUAAACAUAACCUCUUUCAUUUAAUUUUCUUCUAAAUUUAGGUCAUCACAGAGCAUGGAGGGCAGUUCCCUGUGCUACACAGAUAGUUCCCAUUAGUUAUCAAGGCAUUAUUUUCAAAAAUAUGCAAAUGGCUACGUAGCCAUUUGCAUAUUUUUGAAAAUAAUGCCUUGAUAACUAAUGGGAACUAUCUGUGUAGCACAGGGAACUGCCCUCCAUGCUCUGUGAUGACCUAAAUUUAGAAGAAAAUUAAAUGAAAGA
Molecule: small RNA, 382 nt
Filed under: Bos taurus (domestic cattle)
Lineage: Eukaryota; Metazoa; Chordata; Mammalia; Artiodactyla; Bovidae
Source: RNAcentral